ACCCUCGGGCUGUCCAAAAAACAUGGACAAUCCGAAAGAGUUACGCUUAUAGAUAUGCAAAGACUUGCAUAUCUAUAUGCGUAACCCUUUCGGACGGGAGACGCAUAGGGUUACGCGGCUUUGACAUUUAAACUACAAGUGUCAUCAGCUCGAUGGCCGGGACAGAGCAAAAGGGGAAGGCGAGAUAGAGGGAGAUGCUCACCAAGCUACACCGUAGACGAAGUAGUCGAGGUCGAGGUCGAUGUCACCUACAUGAGCAUGAACAUUUUAUAACCAUACAUGCAUGCACAUUCGCAAAGAAGCAUACAUUUUAUAAGCAUACAUGCAUGAGCAUGAACAAAGAUAGCCUCAAAUCAGUUAUUGUAGUAUAAUGUAGUGUAUGCAGAACAUAACCAACAGUUUACAUUUCUUCAUAUGGAAUUGCAGUACCACCAAAUGGCUAAUUUCUAUGCAAAUAAGCUAUGAGGUCCUCAUAAUGAAGUUACGUUAGUGAAACUGUCACAUAUUUCCCCAUGGGUAAUAACACAUCUUACUACUAUCUCAUAAACAAAUGCACGUUAAUCGCUCAAUGUGCCAACACUUGCGAGAGCAACCUAACCAGUGCAUUUCACACACACACUGCAUCAAUGAGCUAUUCCAUCACAAAACCAGCACAUGCAUGAUAAGUUACCAUGUAUCACAAUACCAAGCAGCAAGUAAAUAAUAUGGUUAAACGCAGCAAAAAAAAGAAAAUAAAACUCACCAGAGAAGUGGUGGAGAGGAGAGGGUGGCGGCGG
RNAcentral lists this long non-coding RNA (776 nucleotides) under Brachypodium distachyon (stiff brome). RNAcentral describes it as "long non-coding RNA (BDIS_LNC004820)". Lineage: Eukaryota; Viridiplantae; Streptophyta; Magnoliopsida; Poales; Poaceae. The record is from RNAcentral.